RNAcentral lists this microRNA precursor (78 nucleotides) under Phlebotomus papatasi. RNAcentral describes it as "microRNA mir-308". The record is from RNAcentral. Lineage: Eukaryota; Metazoa; Arthropoda; Insecta; Diptera; Psychodidae.
UUUAGAGUAUUGUGGUUUGAUUUAGAGUAUUCAUGGUUUGAUUUAGAAAUACUCUAAAUCAAACCACAAUACUCUAAA